This 216-nucleotide ribosomal RNA is filed under the name uncultured bacterium. RNAcentral describes it as "partial 16S ribosomal RNA". It matches the Rfam family "Bacterial small subunit ribosomal RNA", at positions 524 to 739 of the family's 1533-position model. The record is from RNAcentral.
UACGAAGGUGCAAGCGUUAAUCGGAAUUACUGGGCGUAAAGCGCGCGUAGGUGGUUCAGCAAGUUGGAUGUGAAAGCCCUGGGCGUCAACCUGGGAACGUGCAUCCAAAACCUAACUGAGCUAGAGUACGGUAGAGGGUAGUGAAUUCCUGUGUAGCGGUGGAAUGCGUAGAUAUAGGAGGAACACCAAUGGCGAAGGCAAUCCCCUCGGGCGUCG